CCGUGUACGUACAAGCAGUGGGAGCCUCUUUUAUGGGGUGACUGCGUACCUUUUGUAUAAUGGGUCAGCGACUUAUAUUCUGUAGCAAGGUUAACCGAAUAGGGGAGCCGAAGGGAAACCGAGUCUUAACUGGGCGUUAAGUUGCAGGGUAUAGACCCGAAACCCGGUGAUCUAGCCAUGGGCAGGUUGAAGGUUGGGUAACACUAACUGGAGGACCGAACCGACUAAUGUUGAAAAAUUAGCGGAUGACUUGUGGCUGGGGGUGAAAGGCCAAUCAAACCGGGAGAUAGCUGGUUCUCCCCGAAAGCUAUUUAGGUAGCGCCUCGUGAAUUCAUCUCCGGGGGUAGAGCACUGUUUCGGCAAGGGGGUCAUCCCGACUUACCAACCCGAUGCAAACUGCGAAUACCGGAGAAUGUUAUCACGGGAGACACACGGCGGGUGCUAACGUCCGUCGUGAAGAGGGAAACAACCCAGACCGCCAGCUAAGGUCCCAAAGUCAUGGUUAAGUGGGAAACGAUGUGGGAAGGCCCAGACAGCCAGGAUGUUGGCUUAGAAGCAGCCAUCAUUUAAAGAAAGCGUAAUAGCUCACUGGUCGAGUCGGCCUGCGCGGAAGAUGUAACGGGGCUAAACCAUGCACCGAAGCUGCGGCAGCGACGCUUAUGCGUUGUUGGGUAGGGGAGCGUUCUGUAAGCCUGUGAAGGUGUGCUGUGAGGCAUGCUGGAGGUAUCAGAAGUGCGAAUGCUGACAUAAGUAACGAUAAAGCGGGUGAAAAGCCCGCUCGCCGGAAGACCAAGGGUUCCUGUCCAACGUUAAUCGGGGCAGGGUGAGUCGACCCCUAAGGCGAGGCCGAAAGGCGUAGUCGAUGGGAAACAGGUUAAUAUUCCUGUACUUGGUGUUACUGCGAAGGGGGGACGGAGAAGGCUAUGUUGGCCGGGCG
Molecule: ribosomal RNA, 937 nt
Filed under: Escherichia coli BL21
Lineage: Bacteria; Pseudomonadati; Pseudomonadota; Gammaproteobacteria; Enterobacterales; Enterobacteriaceae
Description: partial 23S ribosomal RNA
Rfam family: Bacterial large subunit ribosomal RNA
Source: RNAcentral